Molecule: ribosomal RNA, 1259 nt
Filed under: uncultured fungus
Lineage: Eukaryota; Fungi
Description: eukaryotic LSU rRNA
Rfam family: Eukaryotic large subunit ribosomal RNA (bases 588-1259)
Source: RNAcentral
AAGUCGUAACAAGGUUUCCGUAGGUGAACCUGCGGAAGGAUCAUUAAUGAAUACUUUCAGUCGUCCGAGUUGUGCUGGCAGUAACAUGCAUGUGAACACUCGGGCGCAAAUCCACACCCCUGUGAACUUCUUACUUGGGACACGGCUGGAUACAACGUGACCCCCGAGGCUAUUUUCCACUCCUGAAUGUAACGGAAUGUCUUACUGUACAAUGUACAAAACUUAAACAACUUUCAACAACGGAUCUCUUGGCUCUCGCAUCGAUGAAGAACGCAGCGAAAUGCGAUAAGUAAUGUGAAUUGCAGAAUUCAGUGAAUCAUCGAAUCUUUGAACGCACCUUGCACCCUUUGGUAUUCCGAAGGGUACACCCGUUUGAGUGUCAUUGUAAUCUCACCUCUAUGACUUUAUUGUCGUGGAAUGUGGACUUGGACGUUGUGGUGUAACAAACCGCUCGUCUCAAAUGCUUGAGUGUACCCUGCUUUGCGGCGUAUUCGGUGUGAUAACAUCUUCACCGGAGCCAGUUGCAAGACGCGCUAUCAUGGUUAGGCCCUGCGCUUCAAACCGUCUUCGGACAAUCUCUGACAAUUUGACCUCAAAUCGGGUGGGACUACCCGCUGAACUUAAGCAUAUCAAUAAGCGGAGGAAAAGAAACUAACAAGGAUUCCCCUAGUAACGGCGAGUGAAGAGGGAAAAGCUCAAAUUUUAAAUCUGGUAUCUUUGGUGCCCGAGUUGUAAUCUAGAGAAGUGUUUUCCGCGUUGGACCGUGUACAAGUUCCCUGGAACGGGGCGUCAUAGAGGGUGAGAAUCCCGUAUAUGCCACGGACUACCAUUGCUAUGUGAUACACUCUCAACGAGUCGAGUUGUUUGGGAAUGCAGCUCAAAAUGGGUGGUAAAUUCCAUCUAAAGCUAAAUAUUGGCGAGAGACCGAUAGCGAACAAGUACCGUGAGGGAAAGAUGAAAAGCACUUUGGAAAGAGAGUGAAACAGUACGUGAAAUUGUUGAAAGGGAAGCGUUUGAAGUCAGUCACGACUAUUGGGAUUCAGCCUGGCUUUUGCCUGGUGUAUUUUCUAGUAUUCGGGUCAGCAUCAGUUUUGACCGAGGGAAAAAGAUCUACGGAAUGUGGCUUUCUUCGGGAAGUGUUAUAGCCUUAGGUUGUAUGCCUCGGUUGGGACUGAGGUACGCAGCGCGCCACUAAUAGGCCGGGGGUUCGCGCCCCUCGACUCGCGCUUAGGAUGCUGGCAUAAUGGCUUUAAGCGACC